RNAcentral lists this transfer RNA (69 nucleotides) under Ictidomys tridecemlineatus (thirteen-lined ground squirrel). Its description in RNAcentral is "Spermophilus tridecemlineatus (thirteen-lined ground squirrel) tRNA". It matches the Rfam family "tRNA". From Rfam's summary of the family: Transfer RNA (tRNA) molecules are approximately 80 nucleotides in length. Their secondary structure includes four short double-helical elements and three loops (D, anti-codon, and T loops). Lineage: Eukaryota; Metazoa; Chordata; Mammalia; Rodentia; Sciuridae. The record is from Rfam by way of RNAcentral.
GGGGUUGUGGCUCAGUGGCAGAGCGCUCGCCUUGCACGUGCAAGGCCCUGGGUUCGAUCCUCAGCACCA